This 601-nucleotide unclassified non-coding RNA is filed under the name Hevea brasiliensis (rubber tree). Lineage: Eukaryota; Viridiplantae; Streptophyta; Magnoliopsida; Malpighiales; Euphorbiaceae. The record is from RNAcentral.
GCUUUGGACCGUAUACAAGAGGUAUGAUUAAUUGCUGUCAACCCAUGAACUAGUUUCUUAACAAGAUAUGUCAAAAGUAUUACUUCUAAACUUGUUGUACCUGCUGACGAAUUUGAAAACUAGCCUUAAUGAUGUACAUCAUGAUUACUCAUUUGACUUACCAUAAAAAAGCCCCAUAAAGUUCAGUACUUAUUUAGUACUUAAUGCAUAUGAUCCUUUGAUUUUAUAAACUCUGCACUUUGGUGACAGGGGUUAUCAAGAACUCAUUAUUUGGUCUGAAACUGAAUUAAAAGCUAAAAUUUGAUACCAUGUAUGUUAAAAACACAACUUUUUAAGCUGUUUAGGUAGCGAAGAAUACAUUUAACAAAAUAAAUUAACCAAAAAGUCUUGUUAGCGUCGAGUCAGUGGUUUUCCCCUCUAAUUUUCUCUUAUAAUUACUAUUCUUUUUUCAUCAUGGGUUAAAUUAAUAUCCCUAUUUAACAUUUCCUUUUUACCUGCUGCAGUGUUUUAUUUAAAACAUCUACUUCAUUACUUUGCAUGUAUGCACAAGUCACUAUAGAAGUAUUUCUAUGAUUUUGUAUGAUUGCUACCCCUUAGAUUU